Long non-coding RNA from Papaver somniferum (opium poppy), 467 nucleotides. RefSeq lists it as uncharacterized. The transcript has 3 exons. The record is from RefSeq and is a predicted model, not a curated record. Lineage: Eukaryota; Viridiplantae; Streptophyta; Magnoliopsida; Ranunculales; Papaveraceae.
AGUGGCUUGUGAAGAAACGGGUUAACCCGGCCCGUACCGUGAAACCCGCGGGUUAACCCGGCUCAUUCCCCACCACUAGGCCGCGUGUCACAGUAAUGUAAGCCUGUUACGUACGUGUCACAAUAUCUUGUUUCCCUCAUAUAAAAAGUUAAAAACGAAGAAAGAAACCCUAACUCCCUAAGCCUAAGCCGCUGCCGCCUUCAUUCUUCCUCUUCUUUUCUUCUUCCCUGCUGAGUCUUCUGAAUCUGAUGGCAGGUACGAAUCACAGUCACAGAACAACAAAUUGAAAUCUAAAGAUCAAAGUUUAAAGGCUAGCAGCAGAAGAAGAUCGAUCUCAUGUAUUUAAAGGUUCACUGUAAAGGUUAACUUCAGAUCUCGUGUUUGAAUUUCGGAUUUCAUCUUCUUACAGUUACAAUCAAAAGGGGGACAUCAAGCACCAUCUUUGAUUAAAUGUACUGGGGAGAGAG